This is a non-coding RNA of Xyrichtys novacula (pearly razorfish), 690 nucleotides long. The record is from the annotation of a GenBank genome assembly. NCBI's taxonomy places the organism in Eukaryota, Metazoa, Chordata, Actinopteri, Labriformes, Labridae.
GCCUCUCUCAACACUGCAAACCCUGCAGCAUAGAAUGACAACGCAUAGACUGCACAGCCUUCUCACAAGGCUUCUCUGCUGAGGUGAAAUGGUUGCACAGUAAGUCCUCCUCACACUGCCUGAGAAUGUCUGCUACCUGUCUGCUGCAGCUGUACUUACAUAUAUCGCUGUAUUGACAGGAUGAUUUAUGACUGUAUAUCUGUAUUUUCCAUAUUUUGAGAUAUGGCCUGACAUUGACUCAACUGGAGCAGCUAAAUUUAGCCAGACUGGUUUUCACUUUAGGAAUUUGAGCUUAAUUUGAUAACCUAAUGGUCAUGGUGUGUAAAUAAAUCCCCCACCAUAACACUGCACUCCUGGGUGAACAUGAAUUAUAAUGGGGGGGUAUUUUUCCUCAAGGGUUAUGAUGGUUACAGCGUAGAUGCAGAAACCUUAGAAUUCAUCCACCACUUUUUGCCUGAUUUUCAUUUGAUUUAUUUUUUGAUCUUUACGAGAAAAUUUUCUUUUCCUUGCUUUCGUCUUGCAUCUUUAGGAUCCAGAUGUAAUCUGUUCCAACCCUGUUAUCUGAAGAAUGAGGAGUCACGAUUGCAAAAGGAUCUUCUAUUUUUUACACUAUGCAAACACUCCUUUGGCUCCACCCAGGUAAAUACAUAAUGAGCCACCAGUGGUUAGCAAAAUUCAUGCUCUAAAAGC